CCUACGGGAGGCAGCAGUCGAGAAUCUUCCGCAAUGGGCGAAAGCCUGACGGAGCGACGCCGCGUGGAGAACGAAGCCCUUCGGGUUGUAAACUCCUGUCACGAGUUAGAAGGACGGCUGACGAACAGUGAGACGUCUUGGACGUAAGCUCGAGAGGAAGCACUGGCUAACUCUGUGCCAGCAGCCGCGGUAAUACAGAGAGUGCGAACGUUGUUCGGAAUUACUGGGCUUAAAGCGCACGUAGGCGGCGUCGUAAGUGUCAGGUGAAAUCCCACGGGCUCACCCGUGGAACUGCCUGGCAGACUGCGACGCUCGAGUGUGGUAGGGGAGAGCGGAACUCCUGGUGGAGCGGUGAAAUGCGUAGAUAUCAGGAGGAACACCGGUGGCGAAGGCGGCUCUCUGGUCCACAACUGACGCUGAGGUGCGAAAGCUAGGGGAGCAAACGGGAUUAGAUACCCCGGUAGUCCUAGCUGUAAACGAUGGGCACUAGCUUGGGGUCUCCCUGUGUGAUCCCAGGUGAAGUAAAAAUGAUAAGUGCCCCGCCUGGGGAGUAUGGUCCCCAAGGCUGAAACUCAAAGGAAUUGACGG
This 588-nucleotide ribosomal RNA is filed under the name uncultured bacterium. Its description in RNAcentral is "bacterial SSU rRNA". It matches the Rfam family "Bacterial small subunit ribosomal RNA", at positions 338 to 916 of the family's 1533-position model. The record is from RNAcentral.